UCCAAGUAAAGUUCUGUGAUACACUCUGACUCUUAAUUGUUUGCAGUCAGUGCAUUACAGAACUUUGUUUUGGG
Molecule: microRNA precursor, 74 nt
Filed under: Astyanax mexicanus (Mexican tetra)
Lineage: Eukaryota; Metazoa; Chordata; Actinopteri; Characiformes; Acestrorhamphidae
Description: mir-148/mir-152 microRNA precursor family
Rfam family: mir-148/mir-152 microRNA precursor family
About the family: The hairpin precursors (represented here) are predicted based on base pairing and cross-species conservation -- their extents are not known. In this case the mature sequence is excised from the 3' arm of the hairpin.
Source: Rfam by way of RNAcentral